UACAGAGGGUGCAAACGUUGUUCGGAAUUACUGGGCGUAAAGGGCGCGUAGGCGGCCAACUAAGUCAGACGUGAAAUCCCUCGGCUUAACCGGGGAACUGCGUCUGAUACUGGAUGGCUUGAGUUUGGGAGAGGGAUGCGGAAUUCCAGGUGUAGCGGUGAAAUGCGUAGAUAUCUGGAGGAACACCGGUGGCGAAGGCGGCAUCCUGGACCAACACUGACGCUGAGUGAGCGAAAGCCAGGGGAGCAAACGGG
Molecule: ribosomal RNA, 254 nt
Filed under: uncultured bacterium
Lineage: Bacteria
Description: partial 16S ribosomal RNA
Rfam family: Bacterial small subunit ribosomal RNA
Source: RNAcentral